AAGUGGCCCAAUUCUACCGGUCGAAUAGCUGCAGCGAUCCGGUUUAUUAACGAGCGAGAACAGCUGAGUGAAACGUCUUUCAACAAGUAGAGGGCCUGACUAUUAGGUCUACCUCACGUAAGAAACACCUACCUGGAGAUUCCACCAGAGAGAGACAGGACAUGAACACGAGAGAGUGAACCAACUUCGUUAUGGUCGCUGGAAAACGAAGAGACAUGUGACCUUCGUGAUUUCCUGUGUUUGGUCAGGAUGUGGUAGACUACCUAGUCAGACUUGACAGAGGAAGAUUGACAACAUCGACACAAGAUGGAGAGCACGUCCCUCUGCCUGAUGCUCUGUUUGACCUCCUCUGCAGCCGCACUGAGCAUCACUCCCAACAGAUCUCAGUUCUUUCAGCAUGAGUACAUCUCUCUGAUGUGUGCACCACCGGCAGACUCCAGCGGCUGGACAGUGAGAAGAAACACUUCCUUUAGCACGUCUGAACCAUGUGAGGAGGGAUGGGGGAUCCCAGGUGAGUCCUCCUGCACCAUAAAAUAUGCUGACCCAUCAGACAC
Long non-coding RNA from Micropterus dolomieu (smallmouth bass), 554 nucleotides. RefSeq lists it as uncharacterized. Lineage: Eukaryota; Metazoa; Chordata; Actinopteri; Centrarchiformes; Centrarchidae. The record is from RefSeq and is a predicted model, not a curated record. The transcript is spliced from 3 exons.